UUUUCUAAGGGUUUCGUGUCCCUCUUUUAUCCGUCGCAGUGUAAAGGGUCUGAUCCGCAGCCUGCAUUGUGCGCGCACCGAGGCAGGAGCGGAUGUCUUCUGAGGAGAGCGCUGGCUGGGGUUGACUCUCAGGCUCCCGGCUGUCCGCCCGCCCACACGCAGCGAGGAGGGGCGGAGCCCUGCUUCCGGAAUGCUUAAAAUAUGGAAUUCUAGAACAUGACCCACAUUCUGAGUAUCACUCCAGCAUCUGCCUUGUGUUCCAAGUGGGAAAACGAGAAGUGCAAAGGAACAGGCAGCGAGGAGGGUAGCGAUUUUUGUCUGCAAAUUGAUGGAGCUGAUGCAGGUGUCCCCUUUGUAGGCGAGCCCUCCAUUCACUGGCUGCUCCCAGCGCUGCCUGGGGAGGGAAACAGCUGUACUGCUCUCCGCUGCAAAACUCAGAUGUGCUUUAUGGCUUGUGACAAUAGAUUUCCUCCCCACCACGCUUCACUGGGACACUUCAAUUCCAGUAAUAUAUGUCUCAGCCCUUCUGUUUACUGCGCCCUGCUCACCCCCCUGGGCUGUCAUUAGCUGCACCACCAUCAACCGUUUCUUAAUUGACCUUUUUAAAAUGCUGGACAUCACCGGCUGCACGCAGCUGCCACACAUUAAAUUUCCAGAGCAAAGAGUCCAACUUGGUAGCUGGUGAAUUGCAGCCCUGUAAUAUACUUAAUAAAUGACGUCCACCCAGCCUUAGUCCCUGAGCUGUCAGGUGAACCCGUGACACGUCUCAACUGAAUGGCACAACAUUCAUGAGAGGACCAUACCCCUUCUCCCUGUUUCUUGCAUGAAUUAAGGAAGCAGCGGAUUUCCAGGAUGAUUUCCUGUCAAGGUUGGCUGCAGAGAAUUCCUGCCAUCUUGGUUCAUGAGAUGAGAUAUGACAUCAUCAAAGGCAGCCAGGUCCCAGGCCGUUCAAUGGGGAUCCUGCAUUAGGAAGGGUUUGCACAUUAAAACUGUGCCUGUGCCACACCUCUUUCCUUCGUGUUUGCAUCCCUGCCCUGUGAAGUAAAACAGAGUCCAAGAUGCAAGGAGUAGAUUGUGUGUGGGGUGGUGAAAGGACACCCCUGGCAGCCAGGCAGAGCAUCAGUGCCUCCCUUCCCAGGUCACCAGCUUGGGACCUCCUUGUGAGAGGCUCUGAUCUCCAUCAGCAUCAGGGCCCAUAGGGGAUUCUGAACUCUUGGAGGAUAUUUCAUCCCCUCCAAGCCUUGCCCCAUGGAAAGGGCUACACCUCCUGCAGGAAGGGGUGCCUUUUGUUAACAGGUAUUAAUGGGUACAGAGGCACCAUGCAGCCUACCAGCACCCUUGCUAGCCUAGUCCUCUUCCUGUGCUUCUUUUUGAAAGAUCAAGAAUGAAGAGGAAGAGAUGAGGAGUGGGGGUCCUUUACCUAAAGGACCCUCGUGGUUCAUUGCUUCUCUUUAACUGACUUUUUAAAAAAACUCCCUCUUCCACACUCCUUGCUGUGAUUCUGUCCUAAUCAUUUUUCUUGAGAAUGUCAUGUAGAGAUAAAUGUGUGUCACAGUGAAGCCAGAAGGUGAAUUAACAACUAAGACAAAUCCAGCAUGCUCUUGCCUGCCCUGCAUAUGUGCUCAUUUGGGGAAGGACGGAGGACACAGAGCAUCGACACAAAUUCUACAGCUCCUCAGAGAACACAGCAGAGACUCAGAUGAGCUGUAAAAUCCAUUAAGGAAAAAUAAAUGGCAUGAUUUGGAAGUUA
This 1750-nucleotide long non-coding RNA is filed under the name Homo sapiens (human). RNAcentral describes it as "non-protein coding lnc-MARCH3-2:1". Lineage: Eukaryota; Metazoa; Chordata; Mammalia; Primates; Hominidae. The record is from RNAcentral.